This 128-nucleotide small RNA is filed under the name Marmota monax (woodchuck). Lineage: Eukaryota; Metazoa; Chordata; Mammalia; Rodentia; Sciuridae. The record is from RNAcentral.
GCCGGGUGCCGUGGCGCACACCUGUAAUCCCAGUGGCUAGGGAGGCUGAGACAGGAGGAUUGCGAGUUCAAACCCAGCCUCAGCAACUUAAGCAAGGUCCAAAGCAACUCAGAAAGACCCUGUCUCUA